Molecule: ribosomal RNA, 462 nt
Filed under: uncultured beta proteobacterium
Lineage: Bacteria; Pseudomonadati; Pseudomonadota; Betaproteobacteria
Description: bacterial SSU rRNA
Rfam family: Bacterial small subunit ribosomal RNA
Source: RNAcentral
AGAAAAGCAGGGGAUCGCAAGACCUUGCGCUUUUGGAGCGGCCGAUGUCUGAUUAGCUAGUUGGUGAGGUAAAGGCUUACCAAGGCGUCGAUCAGUAGCUGGUCUGAGAGGACGACCAGCCACACUGGGACUGAGACACGGCCCAGACUCCUACGGGAGGCAGCAGUGGGGAAUUUUGGACAAUGGGGGAAACCCUGAUCCAGCCAUGCCGCGUGAGUGAAGAAGGCCUUCGGGUUGUAAAGCUCUUUCAGCCGGAACGAAACGGUCACAGCUAAUACCUGUGACUACUGACGGUACCGGAAGAAGAAGCACCGGCUAACUACGUGCCAGCAGCCGCGGUAAUACGUAGGGUGCGAGCGUUAAUCGGAAUUACUGGGCGUAAAGCGUGCGCAGGCGGUUUUGUAAGUCAGAUGUGAAAUCCCCGGGCUUAACCAUGGGAACUGCGUUUGAAACUACAAGGCU